RNAcentral lists this ribosomal RNA (445 nucleotides) under uncultured bacterium. Its description in RNAcentral is "partial 16S ribosomal RNA". It matches the Rfam family "Bacterial small subunit ribosomal RNA", at positions 46 to 523 of the family's 1533-position model. The record is from RNAcentral.
GCUUAACACAUGCAAGUCGAACGAACUUAUUAGGGCUUGCUCUAAUAAGUUAGUGGCAGACGGGGGAGUAAUACAUAGGAAUCUACCCAGCAGUACGGAAUAACUUUUGGAAACGAAAGAUAAUACCGUAUACAGCUGCGAAGUGAAAGAUUUAUCGCUGUUGGAUGAGCCUAUGCAGGAUUAGCUAGUUGGUGGGGUAAUGGCCUACCAAGGCUAUGAUCCUUAGCUGGUCUGGGAGGAUGAACAGCCACACUGGCACUGAGACACGGUCCAGACUCCUACGGGAGGCAGCAGUGGGGAAUUUUGGACAAGGGGCGAAGGCCUGAGCCAGCGACGCCGCGUGAGUGAUGAAGGCCUUAGGGUUGUAAAGCUCUUUCAGUAGGGAAGAUAGUGACGGUACCUACAGAAGAAGCCCCGGCUAACUUCGUGCCAGCCGCCGCGGUAA